Molecule: ribosomal RNA, 482 nt
Filed under: Vittaforma corneae
Lineage: Eukaryota; Fungi; Microsporidia; Nosematidae
Description: SSU rRNA
Rfam family: Microsporidia small subunit ribosomal RNA
Source: RNAcentral
AGCCAUGCAUGUUUCCGCAAUCAGGGACGAAUAGCUCAGUAAAACUGCGAUGAUUUAGUCUGGCUGUGUAGAUAACUACGUGAAAAUGUAGCUAAGGGAAGGCAGAAUAAGACGCAGGACUAUCAGUUAGUUGGUAGUGUAAUGGACUACCAAGACAGUGACGGUUGACGGGAAAUUAGGGUUUUGUACCGGAGAGGGAGCCUGAGAGAUUGCUCCCACGUCCAAGGACGGCAGCAGGCGCGAAAAUUGCCCACUCUUUGCAGGAGGCAGUUAUGAGACGUGAAGAUGAGUAUCUUGUAAAGAGGGAUAGGAGAAUUGGAGGGCAAGUUUGGUGCCAGCAGCCGCGGUAAUACCGACUCCAAGAGUGUGUAUGAGAGAUGCUGCAGUUAAAAAGUCCGUAGUCAUAGAAGGGCAAAGAGAGAUGCGAGGUCUCACAGUGCGAUGAUGGAGGAGCCGAUGGGGAACAUAGUAUACCAGGGCGA